GACGAACGCUGGCGGCGUGCUUAACACAUGCAAGUCGAACGGAAAGGCCCUGCUUUUGUGGGGUGCUCGAGUGGCGAACGGGUGAGUAACACGUGAGUAACCUGCCCUUGACUUUGGGAUAACUUCAGGAAACUGGGGCUAAUACCGGAUAGGAGCUCCUGCUGCAUGGUGGGGGUUGGAAAGUUUCGGCGGUUGGGGAUGGACUCGCGGCUUAUCAGCUUGUGGGUGGGGUAGUGGCUUACCAAGGCUUUGACGGGUGGCCGGCCUGAGAGGGUGACCGGCCACAUUGGGACUGAGAUACGGCCCAGACUCCUACGGGAGGCAGCAGUGGGGAAUAUUGCACAAUGGGCGGAAGCCUGAUGCAGCAACGCCGCGUGCGGGAUGACGGCCUUCGGGUUGUAAACCGCUUUCGCCUGUGACGAAGCGUGAGUGACGGUAAUGGGUAAAGAAGCACCGGCUAACUACGUG
RNAcentral lists this ribosomal RNA (468 nucleotides) under uncultured bacterium. Its description in RNAcentral is "partial 16S ribosomal RNA". It matches the Rfam family "Bacterial small subunit ribosomal RNA", at positions 28 to 507 of the family's 1533-position model. The record is from RNAcentral.